Molecule: ribosomal RNA, 383 nt
Filed under: uncultured eukaryote
Lineage: Eukaryota
Description: partial 18S ribosomal RNA
Rfam family: Eukaryotic small subunit ribosomal RNA
Source: RNAcentral
CAAUAGCGUAUAUUAAAGUUGUUGCAGUUAAAAAGCUCGUAGUUGGAUUUCUGGUGGGAGCGAUCGGUCUGGCGCUUAGCGCGAGUACUUGCAUCGUCUCCGGCCAUCCUUGGGGAGAGUCUGUCUGGCAUUAAGUUGUCGGGCAGAGGAUCCUCAUCGUUUACUGUGAAAAAAUUAGAGUGUUCAAAGCAGGCUUAUGCCGUUGAAUAUAUUAGCAUGGAAUAAUAAGAUUGGACUUUGGUACUAUUUUGUUGGUUUGCGCACCAAAGUAAUGAUUAAUAGGGACAGUUGGGGGUAUUCGUAUUCCGUUGUCAGAGGUGAAAUUCUUGGAUUUACGGAAGACGAACUACUGCGAAAGCAUUUACCAAGGAUGUUUUCAUUAA